RNAcentral lists this ribosomal RNA (265 nucleotides) under uncultured Glomeromycotina. RNAcentral describes it as "partial 18S ribosomal RNA". It matches the Rfam family "Eukaryotic small subunit ribosomal RNA", at positions 619 to 888 of the family's 1831-position model. Lineage: Eukaryota; Fungi; Glomeromycota. The record is from RNAcentral.
UUNAAAAGCUCGUAGUUGAAUUUCGGGAUCAAUAUAUCGGUCGUGCCUUUGGUACGUACUGGUAUCAUUGAUUUCUCCUUUCUGACGAAUCAUGAUGUCAUUAAUUUGGUGUUAUGAGGAGUUAGGACUGUUACUUUGAAAAAAUUAGAGUGUUUAAAGCAGGCAUUAGCUUGAAUACAUUAGCAUGGAAUAAUGAAAUAGGACGUUUGACCCUAUUUUGUUGGUUUUUAGGAUCGACGUAAUGAUUAAUAGGGAUAGUUGGGGG